UACGUAGGUGGCAAGCGUUGUCCGGAUUUAUUGGGUUUAAAGGGUGCGUAGGCGGCCUUGUAAGUCAGUGGUGAAAUACUCCAGCUUAACUGGAGGGGUGCCAAUGAUACUGCAGGGCUUGAGUACAGAUGAGGUAGGCGGAAUUGACGGUGUAGCGGUGAAAUGCAUAGAUAUCGUCAAGAACACCGAUAGCGAAGGCAGCUUACUGGGCUGUAACUGACGCUGAGGCACGAAAGUGUGGGGAUCAAACAGG
RNAcentral lists this ribosomal RNA (253 nucleotides) under Chryseolinea sp. Its description in RNAcentral is "partial 16S ribosomal RNA". It matches the Rfam family "Bacterial small subunit ribosomal RNA", at positions 524 to 776 of the family's 1533-position model. RNAcentral also lists the same sequence under 2 other names. The record is from RNAcentral. Lineage: Bacteria; Pseudomonadati; Bacteroidota; Cytophagia; Cytophagales; Fulvivirgaceae.